UCCUCCUCCACGCCGCUGCUGCUUUCAGGAAGCGGAAGCAGGAAUGUUGGAGUGUUUUUAGAAAAGUUUGGACUCUUUUUGUGACAGUUCGGGAGCAGAGACGCGGACUGCGGAGGACCAUGACGGUGAGGUACCUGUUGCUGAUGUCGCUGUAGAGUCGUCAGUCUUCUCUGACUGAUCAGAAAUGGAGAGUGGAGCUCUGGGAAUGGAAACCAGCGCCGCUACAGAUCCCAGACUGAAGUCGAUGAGCAUGGCCUGUGUGCGGCGGCGGGCCUGGGCCCAGAGCAAAGACUCCGUCUGGCAGGAGUCAAAACCAGGGGACUGUGGCCCCCAGGGACCCCAACAGACCCAGACUAAUGGUAACACACAGAGAC
Molecule: long non-coding RNA, 374 nt
Organism: Amphiprion ocellaris (clown anemonefish)
Lineage: Eukaryota; Metazoa; Chordata; Actinopteri; Pomacentridae
Exons: 3
Source: RefSeq, a predicted model, not a curated record